RNAcentral lists this ribosomal RNA (253 nucleotides) under uncultured bacterium. RNAcentral's name for it is "partial 16S ribosomal RNA". It matches the Rfam family "Bacterial small subunit ribosomal RNA", at positions 524 to 776 of the family's 1533-position model. The record is from RNAcentral.
UACGUAGGGUGCGAGCGUUAAUCGGAAUUACUGGGCGUAAAGUGUGCGCAGGCGGCCGCGCAAGUCGAGUGUGAAAGCCCCGGGCUUAACUUGGGAAUUGCGCUCGAAACUACGUGGCUAGAGUGUGGCAGAGGGAGGUGGAAUUCCACGUGUAGCGGUGAAAUGCGUAGAGAUGUGGAGGAACACCGAUGGCGAAGGCAGCCUCCUGGGCCAACACUGACGCUCACGCACGAAAGCGUGGGGAGCAAACAGG